This 88-nucleotide microRNA precursor is filed under the name Marmota monax (woodchuck). It matches the Rfam family "mir-650 microRNA precursor family". The record is from RNAcentral. Lineage: Eukaryota; Metazoa; Chordata; Mammalia; Rodentia; Sciuridae.
UUGUGAUUCAGGAGACAGAACUCUGGGACAUCUCCACCAUGGCCUGGAUCCCUCUCCUUCUCACCCUUCUGUCUGUCUGCACAGGUGA